ACCUAGCCGCCGUUGUCGCCUAACCGAUCUUACCGAGUACUGACAGAUCGCUUUCUUGCUUGCUACCCAUGGCGUCCAGCCUCUAUUUAAUCCUGCCUUCGCUCCAACUUCAACUUCGUGGAUCUCAUCUGUUCUUCAUUCCUGAAGCAAGAAAGGAGUCUGAUUCUACCUCCAACAAGUUGCAUCCAAUGUUUGAUACCAAGAUCAAGCCAUUACGAAUCAAAAUCCAGCUGAGUCCACAUUGCUAACAUGGGGUAAUAAGCAGGAAAUCCCUCGGGCCAAUUUAUUCAUUAUCGAACAUGGUUACAUCAUUUAUGAGCAGUAAACUAGAGGUUCAUCAACCCAAGUACAAAAUUCGGACAAUGUAGAAAUUAAUCUAGGUACCUCAUGAGCUGCCAUGUCGCCUUCAGUAGAACAGAAUUCAAAAGACACCUCAUCAAACGCACUUGCUCGCAACAUGCAACCAUGAAAUGGUGUUGAACUUGCGGUAGUAGAGAAACCCCUGUCGCUUAAUAUAGAUUUAAAGGAGUGGUCCCUUUUAAUUUUUAUAUUUUUUCUUGGAAAAAUGAAAGUAUUGUAAA
Triticum aestivum (bread wheat) is the source of this 581-nucleotide long non-coding RNA. RefSeq lists it as uncharacterized. The record is from RefSeq and is a predicted model, not a curated record. Lineage: Eukaryota; Viridiplantae; Streptophyta; Magnoliopsida; Poales; Poaceae. The transcript has 3 exons.